RNAcentral lists this ribosomal RNA (468 nucleotides) under uncultured bacterium. Its description in RNAcentral is "partial 16S ribosomal RNA". It matches the Rfam family "Bacterial small subunit ribosomal RNA", at positions 28 to 507 of the family's 1533-position model. The record is from RNAcentral.
GACGAACGCUGGCGGCGUGCUUAACACAUGCAAGUCGAACGGAAAGGCCCUGCUUUCGUGGGGUGCCCGAGUGGCGAACGGGUGAGUAACACGUGAGUAACCUGCUCUUGACUUUGGGAUAACUUCAGGAAACUGGGGCUAAUCCCGGAUAGGAGCCCCCGCUGCAUGGUGGGGGUUGGAAAGUUUCGGCGGUUGGGGAUGGACUCGCGGCUUAUCAGCUUGUUGGUGGGGUAGUGGCUUACCAAGGCUUUGACGGGUAGGCAGCAUGGGAGGGUGAACGGGCACAUUGGGCCUGAGAUACGGCCCAGACGCCUACGGGAGGCAGCAGUGGGAAAUAUGGCACAGUGGGCGGGAGCCUGAGGCAGAAGCGCCGGGUGCGGGAAGACGUCCUUCGGGUUGUGAACAGCUUUCGCCUGUGACGAAGCGUGAGUGACGGUAAUGGGUGAAGAAGCACCGGCUAACUACGUG